Molecule: ribosomal RNA, 408 nt
Filed under: uncultured bacterium
Lineage: Bacteria
Description: partial 16S ribosomal RNA
Rfam family: Bacterial small subunit ribosomal RNA
Source: RNAcentral
GACGAACGCUGGCGGCGUGCUUAACACAUGCAAGUCGAACGGAGUGGCGAACGGGUGAGUAAUACGUGGGUACCUUGACAUCCUUUGUGGGGUAAGCAUUGGACACGGGGUCUAAUACCGAAAAACGGGGGAUGGGCUAGCGGCCUUUUAGCUAGUUGGGGGGGUGAUGGCCUACCAAGGCGGUGACGGGUAGCCGGGCUGAGAGGGUGCACGGCCACAUUUGGACUGAGAUACGGCCGAGAGUCCUACGGGGGGGAGCAGUGGGGGAUAUUGCAGAAUGGGCGAACGACUGAUGCAGCGUCGCCGCGUGGGGUAUGAGGGCUUGCGGGUUGUAAACCUCUUUCGCUAUCGAACGGGUAGGUGGAGAAGAAGCGCCGGCUAACUCCGUGCCAGCAGCCGCGGUAAUUC